Molecule: ribosomal RNA, 427 nt
Filed under: uncultured bacterium
Lineage: Bacteria
Also listed under: 2 other names
Description: bacterial SSU rRNA
Rfam family: Bacterial small subunit ribosomal RNA
Source: RNAcentral
UGGGGAAUAUUGCACAAUGGGCGCAAGCCUGAUGCAGCCAUGCCGCGUGUAUGAAGAAGGCCUUCGGGUUGUAAAGUACUUUCAGCGGGGAGGAAGGCGAUGCGGUUAAUAACCGCGUCGAUUGACGUUACCCGCAGAAGAAGCACCGGCUAACUCCGUGCCAGCAGCCGCGGUAAUACGGAGGGUGCAAGCGUUAAUCGGAAUUACUGGGCGUAAAGCGCACGCAGGCGGUCUGUUAAGUCAGAUGUGAAAUCCCCGGGCUUAACCUGGGAACUGCAUUUGAAACUGGCAGGCUUGAGUCUUGUAGAGGGGGGUAGAAUUCCAGGUGUAGCGGUGAAAUGCGUAGAGAUCUGGAGGAAUACCGGUGGCGAAGGCGGCCCCCUGGACAAAGACUGACGCUCAGGUGCGAAAGCGUGGGGAGCAAACA